CAGGUUGAAGGUGCGGUAAAACGCACUGGAGGACCGAACCAGGGCACGUUGAAAAGUGCUUGGAUGACUUGUGGGUAGCGGAGAAAUUCCAAACGAACUUGGAGAUAGCUGGUUCUCUCCGAAAUAGCUUUAGGGCUAGCGUCGACAUUAAGAUUCUUGGAGGUAGAGCACUGUUUGGGUGAGGGGUCCAUCCCGGAUUACCAAUCUCAGAUAAACUCCGAAUGCCAAUGAAUUAUGGUCGGCAGUCAGACUGCGAGUGCUAAGAUCCGUAGUCGAAAGGGAAACAGCCCAGACCACCAGCUAAGGUCCCAAAAUAAUUGUUAAGUGGAAAAGGAUGUGGGGUUGCACAGACAACUAGGAUGUUAGCUUAGAAGCAGCUAUUCAUUCAAAGAGUGCGUAAUAGCUCACUAGUCGAGUGACCCUGCGCCGAAAAUGUACCGGGGCUAAAACAAUUUACCGAAGCUGUGGAUACCUUUAUAGGUAUGGUAGGAGAGCGUUCUAUGUGUGGCGAAGGUGUACCGUGAGGAGCGCUGGAACGCAUAGAAGUGAGAAUGCCGGUAUGAGUAGCGAAAGACAGGUGAGAAUCCUGUCCACCGUAAGACUAAGGUUUCCAGGGGAAGGCUCGUCCGCCCUGGGUUAGUCGGGACCUAAGGAGAGACCGAAAGGUGUAUCCGAUGGACAACAGGUUGAUAUUCCUGUACUAGAGUAUGUAGUGAUGGAGGGACGCAGUAGGCUAACUAAAGCAGACGAUUGGAAGUGUCUGUCUAAGCAGUGAGGUGUGAAUUGAGUUAAAUGCUUAGUUCUAUAACAUUGAGCUGUGAUGGGGAGCGAAGUUUAGUAGCGAAGUUAGUGACGUCACACUGCCAAGAAAAGCUUCUAGCGUUUAAACAUACUCUACCCGUACCGCAAACCGACACAGGUAGUCGAGGCGAGUAGCCUCAGGUGAGCGAGAGAACUCUCGUUAAGGAACUCGGCAAAAUGACCCCGUAACUUCGGGAGAAGGGGUGCUGGUAGCAAUACCAGCCGCAGUGAAUAGGCCCAGGCGACUGUUUAUCAAAAACACAGGUCUCUGCAAAAUCGAAAGAUGACGUAUAGGGGCUGACGCCUGCCCGGUGCUGGAAGGUUAAGAGGAGAGGUUAGCGCAAGCGAAGCUUUGAAUUGAAGCCCCAGUAAACGGCGGCCGUAACUAUAACGGUCCUAAGGUAGCGAAAUUCCUUGUCGGGUAAGUUCCGACCCGCACGAAAGGCGUAACGAUUUGGGCACUGUCUCAACGAUGGACUCGGUGAAAUCAUAGUACCUGUGAAGAUGCAGGUUACCCGCGACAGGACGGAAAGACCCCAUGGAGCUUUACUGUAGUUUGAUAUUGAGUGUUUGUGUCACAUGUACAGGAUAGGUAGGAGCUGAAGAAUCCGGGACGCCAGUUUCGGAGGAGGCAACGGUGGGAUACUACCCUUGUGACAUGACCACUCUAACCCGCACCCCUUACCGGGGUGGGAGACAGUGUCAGACGGGCAGUUUGACUGGGGCGGUCGCCUCCUAAAAUGUAACGGAGGCGCCCAAAGGUUCCCUCAGAAUGGUUGGAAAUCAUUCGUAGAGUGUAAAGGUAUAAGGGAGCUUGACUGCGAGAGCUACAACUCGAGCAGGGACGAAAGUCGGGCUUAGUGAUCCGGUGGUUCCGCAUGGAAGGGCCAUCGCUCAACGGAUAAAAGCUACCCUGGGGAUAACAGGCUUAUCUCCCCCAAGAGUUCACAUCGACGGGGAGGUUUGGCACCUCGAUGUCGGCUCAUCGCAUCCUGGGGCUGAAGUCGGUCCCAAGGGUUGGGCUGUUCGCCCAUUAAAGCGGUACGCGAGCUGGGUUCAGAACGUCGUGAGACAGUUCGGUCCCUAUCCGUCGCGGGCGU
This 1901-nucleotide ribosomal RNA is filed under the name human metagenome. RNAcentral's name for it is "bacterial LSU rRNA". It matches the Rfam family "Bacterial large subunit ribosomal RNA", at positions 741 to 2654 of the family's 2925-position model. The record is from RNAcentral.